RNAcentral lists this ribosomal RNA (459 nucleotides) under uncultured Sphingobacteriales bacterium. Its description in RNAcentral is "bacterial SSU rRNA". It matches the Rfam family "Bacterial small subunit ribosomal RNA", at positions 920 to 1382 of the family's 1533-position model. Lineage: Bacteria; Pseudomonadati; Bacteroidota; Sphingobacteriia; Sphingobacteriales. The record is from RNAcentral.
CCCGCACAAGCGGAGGAACAUGUGGUUUAAUUCGAUGAUACGCGAGGAACCCUACCUGGGCUUAAAUGGGGAGUGACAGCUGUCGAAAGAUGGUUUUCUUCGGACACUCUUCAAGGUGCUGCAUGGUUGUCGUCAGCUCGUGCCGUGAGGUGUCGGGUUAAGUCCCAUAACGAGCGCAACCUUACCGUUAGUUACCAUCAGGUUAAGCUGGGGACUCUAGCGGGACUGCCACCGUAAGGUGAGAGGAAGGUGGGGAUGACGUCAAAUCAGCACGGCCCUUAUGUCCAGGGCUACACACGUGUUACAAUGGCCAGUACAAAGGGCAGCUACCGGGUGACCGGAUGCUAACCUCUAAAGCUGGUCUCAGUUCGGAUCGAAGUCUGCAACCCGACUUCGUGAAGCUGGAUUCGCUAGUAAUCGCGCAUCAGCCAUGACGCGGUGAAUACGUUCCCGGGCCUU